This 260-nucleotide ribosomal RNA is filed under the name uncultured prokaryote. RNAcentral's name for it is "partial 16S ribosomal RNA". It matches the Rfam family "Bacterial small subunit ribosomal RNA", at positions 524 to 782 of the family's 1533-position model. The record is from RNAcentral.
UACGUAGGGUGCGAGCGUUGUCCGGAAUUACUGGGCGUAAAGAGCUCGUAGGUGGUUUGUCACGUCGUCUGUGAAAUUCCGGGGCUUAACCUCGGGCGUGCAGGCGAUACGGGCAAUACUUGAGUGCUGUAGGGGAGACUGGAAUUCCUGGUGUAGCGGUGAAAUGCGCAGAUAUCAGGAGGAACACCAAUGGCGAAGGCAGGUCUCUGGGCAGUUACUGACGCUGAGGAGCGAAGGCAUGGGUAGCGAACAGGAUUAGA